RNAcentral lists this ribosomal RNA (700 nucleotides) under uncultured bacterium. RNAcentral describes it as "bacterial SSU rRNA". It matches the Rfam family "Bacterial small subunit ribosomal RNA", at positions 94 to 790 of the family's 1533-position model. The record is from RNAcentral.
AGUGGCGCAAGGGUGAGUAAUGCGAAGGUAACCAACCCUGGAGUUGGGCAUAGCCGCGGGAAACUGCGGGUAAUACCCAGCGAUGUCGCGAGAUGGCAUCAUCUUGCGACCAAGGGUGUGAUUCCGCUCUAGGACGGGCCUUCGUGGUAUUAGGUAGUUGGUGAGGUAACGGCUCACCAAGCCGACGAUGCCUACCGGGUGUGAGAGCAUGACCCGGCACACUGGAACUGAGACACUGUCCAGACACCUACGGGUGGCUGCAGUCGAGAAUCUUCGGCAAUGGGCGAAAGCCUGACCGAGCGACGCCGCGUGAGGGAAGAAGGCCUUCGGGUUGUAAACCUCUUUCGUAGAGGAGGAAGGGGCCGUGCAGAGCGGUCUUUGACCUAUUCUAGGAAGAAGCUUGGGCUAAGUUCGUGCCAGCAGCCGCGGUAAGACGAACCAAGCGAACGUUAUUCGGAAUUACUGGGCUUAAAGCGCGUGUAGGCGGAUGACCACGUCAGUCGUUGAAAUCCCCCGGCUCAACCGGGGAACAGGCGCUGAUACGAGUUGUCUGGAGGUGGGUAGGGGAGACUGGAACUUCCGGUGGAGCGGUGAAAUGCGUUGAGAUCGGAAGGAACGCCCGCGGCGAAAGCGAGUCUCUGGACCCAUUCUGACGCUGAGACGCGAAAGCCAGGGGAGCAAACGGGAUUAGAUACCCCGG